GACGGAGGGUGCAAACGUUGCUCGGAAUCAUUGGGCGUAAAGCGCACGUAGGCGGCCCGGUAAGUCGGAUGUGAAAGCCCUCGGCUCAACUGAGGAAGUGCAUUCGAAACUGCUGGACUUGAGUACGGGAGAGGGAUGCGGAAUUCCCGGUGUAGAAGUGAAAUUCGUAGAGAUCGGGAGGAACACCAGUGGCGAAGGCGGCAUCCUGGACCGAUACUGACGAUGAGGUGCGAAAGAGUGGGGAGCAAACAGG
This 253-nucleotide ribosomal RNA is filed under the name uncultured bacterium. Its description in RNAcentral is "partial 16S ribosomal RNA". It matches the Rfam family "Bacterial small subunit ribosomal RNA", at positions 524 to 776 of the family's 1533-position model. The record is from RNAcentral.